GGUUGUGGCUCAAUGGUAGAGUGCUUACCUAGCACGGUCAAGGUCCUGGGUUUGAUCCUCAGCAUCA
RNAcentral lists this transfer RNA (67 nucleotides) under Marmota monax (woodchuck). RNAcentral describes it as "tRNA.Undet". Lineage: Eukaryota; Metazoa; Chordata; Mammalia; Rodentia; Sciuridae. The record is from RNAcentral.